UACGGAGGGUGCAAGCGUUAUCCGGAUUCACUGGGUUUAAAGGGUGCGUAGGCGGGCAGGUAAGUCAGUGGUGAAAUCUCCGGGCUUAACCCGGAAACUGCCAUUGAUACUAUCUGUCUUGAAUAUGGUGGAGGUAAGCGGAAUAUGUCAUGUAGCGGUGAAAUGCUUAGAGAUGACAUAGAACACCCAUUGCGAAGGCAGCUGACUACGCCUAUAUUGACGCUGAGGCACGAAAGCGUGGGGAUCAAACAGG
Molecule: ribosomal RNA, 253 nt
Filed under: uncultured bacterium
Lineage: Bacteria
Description: partial 16S ribosomal RNA
Rfam family: Bacterial small subunit ribosomal RNA
Source: RNAcentral